ACACCGGCAGCUCAAGUGGUAGCCGCUUUUAUUGGGCCUAAAGCGUCCGUAGCCGGUCUGAUAAGUCUCUGGUGAAAUCCCGCAGCUUAACUGUGGGAAUUGCUGGAGAUACUAUCAUGACUCGAGGUCGGGAGAGGCUGGAGGUACUCCCAGGGUAGGGGUGAAAUCCUGUAAUCCUGGGAGGACCACCUGUGGCGAAGGCGUCCAGCUGGAACGAACCUGACGGUGAGGGACGAAAGCCAGGGGCGCGAACCGGAUUAGAUACCCGGGUAGUCCUGGCCGUAAACGAUGUGGACUUGGUGUUGGGAUGGCUUCGAGCUGCCCCAGUGCCGAAGGGAAGCUGUUAAGUCCACCGCCUGGGAAGUACGGCCGCAAGGCUGAAACUUAAAUGAAUUGGCGGGG
Molecule: ribosomal RNA, 402 nt
Filed under: uncultured bacterium
Lineage: Bacteria
Description: partial 16S ribosomal RNA
Rfam family: Archaeal small subunit ribosomal RNA
Source: RNAcentral